AUUGAACGCUGGCGGCAUGCCUUACACAUGCAAGUCGAACGGUAACAGGUCUUCGGAUGCUGACGAGUGGCGAACAGGUGAGUAAUACAUCGGAACGUGCCUAGUAGUGGGGGAUAACUACUCGAAAGAGUGGCUAAUACCGCAUGAGAUCUACGGAUGAAAGCAGGGGAUCGCAAGACCUUGUGCUACUAGAGCGGCCGAUGGCAGAGUAGGUAGUUGGUGGGAUAAAAGCUUACCAAGCCGACGAUCUGUAGCUGGUCUGAGAGGACGAUCAGCCACACUGGGACUGAGACACGGCCCAGACUCCUACGGGAGGCAGCAGUGGGGAAGUUUGGACAAUGGGCGCAAGCCUGAUCCAGCAAUGCCGCGUGCAGGAUGAAGGCCUUCGGGUUGUAAACUGCUUUUGUACGGAACGAAAAGCCCCGGGUUAAUACCCUGGGGUCAUGACGGUACCGUAAGAAUAAGCACCGGCUAACUACGUGCCAGCCGCCGCCGUAA
RNAcentral lists this ribosomal RNA (498 nucleotides) under uncultured bacterium. RNAcentral's name for it is "partial 16S ribosomal RNA". It matches the Rfam family "Bacterial small subunit ribosomal RNA", at positions 30 to 523 of the family's 1533-position model. The record is from RNAcentral.